GCAUUAGUGGUUCAAUGGUAGAAUUCUCACCUUGCAUGUGGGAGGCCCAGGCUUGAUUCCUGGCUAAUGCA
Molecule: transfer RNA, 71 nt
Filed under: Loxodonta africana (African savanna elephant)
Lineage: Eukaryota; Metazoa; Chordata; Mammalia; Proboscidea; Elephantidae
Description: tRNA-Ala (TGC) (tRNA-Ala-TGC-21-1)
Rfam family: tRNA
About the family: Transfer RNA (tRNA) molecules are approximately 80 nucleotides in length. Their secondary structure includes four short double-helical elements and three loops (D, anti-codon, and T loops).
Source: Rfam by way of RNAcentral